Molecule: ribosomal RNA, 467 nt
Filed under: uncultured bacterium
Lineage: Bacteria
Description: partial 16S ribosomal RNA
Rfam family: Bacterial small subunit ribosomal RNA
Source: RNAcentral
ACGAACGCUGGCGGCGUGCUUAACACAUGCAAGUCGAACGGAAAGGCCCUGCUUUUGUGGGGUGCUCGAGUGGCGAACGGGUGAGUAACACGUGAGUAACCUGCCCUUGACUUUGGGAUAACUUCAGGAAACUGGGGCUAAUACCGGAUAGGAGCUCCUGCUGCAUGGUGGGGGUUGGAAAGUUUCGGCGGUUGGGGAUCGACUCGCGGCUUAUCAGCUUGUUGGUGGGGUAGUGGCUUACCAAGGCUUUGACGGGUAGCCGGCCUGAGAGGGUGACCGGCCACAUUGGGACUGAGAUACGGCCCAGACUCCUACGGGAGGCAGCAGUGGGGAAUAUUGCACAAUGGGCAGAAGCCUGAUGCAGCAACGCCGCGUGCGGGAUGACGGCCUUCGGGUUGUAAACCGCUUUCGCCUGUGACGAAGCGUGAGUGACGGUAAUGGGUAAAGAAGCACCGGCUAACUACGUG